Molecule: ribosomal RNA, 674 nt
Filed under: Vairimorpha ceranae
Lineage: Eukaryota; Fungi; Microsporidia; Nosematidae
Description: SSU rRNA
Rfam family: Microsporidia small subunit ribosomal RNA
Source: RNAcentral
GUAUAUGAGGUGAUUAAUUGGAGGGCAAAUCAAGUGCCAGCAGCCGCGGUAAUACUUGUUCCAAGAGUGUGUAUGAUGAUUGAUGCAGUUAAAAAGUCCGUAGUUUAUUUUUUUAAGAAGCAAUAUGAGGUGUACUGUAUAGUUGGGAGAAAGAUGAAAUGUGACGACCCUGACUGGACGAACAGAAGCGAAAGCUGUACACUUGUAUGUAUUUUUUGAACAAGGACGUAAGCUGGAGGAGCGAAGAUGAUUAGAUACCAUUGUAGUUCAGCAGUAAACUAUGCCGACGAUGUGAUAUGAAAAUAUUAAUUUGUAUUACAUAAUAGAAAUUUGAGUUUUAUGGCUCUGGGGAUAGUAUGAUCGCAAGAUUGAAAAUUAAAGAAAUUGACGGAAGAAUACCACAAGGAGUGGAUUGUGCGGCUUAAUUUGACUCAACGCGAGGUAACUUACCAAUAUUUUAUUAUUUUGAGAGGACGGUUUUUUGUUUGAGAAUGAUAAUAGUGGUGCAUGGCCGUUUUCAAUGGAUGCUGUGAAGUUUUGAUUAAUUUCAACAAGACGUGAGACCCUUAUUUUUUUAUUAAAGACAGACACAAUCAGUGUAGGAAGGAAAGGAUUAAAACAGGUCCGUUAUGCCCUCUGACAUUUUGGGCUGCACGCGCAAUACAAUAGAUAUA